This 498-nucleotide ribosomal RNA is filed under the name uncultured bacterium. RNAcentral's name for it is "bacterial SSU rRNA". It matches the Rfam family "Bacterial small subunit ribosomal RNA", at positions 903 to 1397 of the family's 1533-position model. The record is from RNAcentral.
AAAUGAAUAGACGGGGGCCCGCACAAGCGGUGGAGUAUGUGGUUUAAUUCGACGCAACGCGAAGAACCUUACCAGGGCUUGACAUCCUCUGACAGCCUAAGAGAUUAGGUAUUCCGACUUCGGUUGGACAGAGAGACAGGUGGUGCAUGGUUGUCGUCAGCUCGUGUCGUGAGAUGUUGGGUUAAGUCCCGCAACGAGCGCAACCCUUAUUCUUAGUUGCCAGCAUGAAAGAUGGGCACUCUAAGGAGACUGCCGGUGACAAACCGGAGGAAGGUGGGGAUGACGUCAAAUCAUCAUGCCCUUUAUGUCCUGGGCUACACACGUACUACAAUGGCCUGUACAAAGGGUAGCGAAGCCGCAAGGUGGAGCCAAUCCCAAAAAGCAGGUCUCAGUUCGGAUUGCAGGCUGCAACUCGCCUGCAUGAAGUCGGAAUCGCUAGUAAUCGCGGAUCAGCAUGCCGCGGUGAAUACGUUCCCGGGCCUUGUACACACCGCCCGU